This 77-nucleotide transfer RNA is filed under the name Candidatus Spechtbacteria bacterium RIFCSPHIGHO2_02_FULL_43_15b. RNAcentral's name for it is "tRNA-Ala". It matches the Rfam family "tRNA". From Rfam's summary of the family: Transfer RNA (tRNA) molecules are approximately 80 nucleotides in length. Their secondary structure includes four short double-helical elements and three loops (D, anti-codon, and T loops). Further hydrogen bonds mediate the characteristic L-shaped molecular structure. tRNAs have two regions of fundamental functional importance: the anti-codon, which is responsible for specific mRNA codon recognition, and the 3' end, to which the tRNAs corresponding amino acid is attached (by aminoacyl-tRNA synthetases). tRNAs cope with the degeneracy of the genetic code in two manners: having more than one tRNA (with a specific anti-codon) for a particular amino acid; and 'wobble' base-pairing, i.e. permitting non-standard base-pairing at the 3rd anti-codon position. Lineage: Bacteria; Candidatus Spechtiibacteriota. The record is from RNAcentral.
GGGCCCGUAGCUCAGUUGGCUAGAGCGCUUCGAUGGCAUCGAAGAGGUCGGGAGUUCGAGCCUCCCCGGGUCCACCA